Molecule: long non-coding RNA, 3510 nt
Organism: Gossypium raimondii (Peruvian cotton)
Lineage: Eukaryota; Viridiplantae; Streptophyta; Magnoliopsida; Malvales; Malvaceae
Exons: 5
Source: RefSeq, a predicted model, not a curated record
GGGCGAUAUAAGAGGCGGCCACGACGACGAUCAUGGCAGCAACGGCGGCAGAGACUGCCGAUCUUUUGCUUUUUUUUUUAAGCCCCUGCCAUUCAUUUUAAGAUUUUUGACGUGUAUUUUACAGUAAACUGUCUUCACUUCGUUAUCGAUGCAUAUGCCGGUUUAAUGUUUGGAUUCGAUAUGGACGGAGUUUGCUUGCUCGUAUUGAUCUAUGUUCAUCAAUGGAGAUCCUACCUUGAAGAUAAGCUAUUUUUCCUCCUUUUCUUGAUUUGCCUUUUUUUUUUUUAGAAUUAUGAUAGGCUUAGAGAUGCAAGAACAGUUAUAUUUUGAUCUUCGAUAUGGGCGAAAUUGCUUUCUGCAUUUUUCACUCUUUGAAGCUCAAAUGUGAAUUUUUUUUGUAUGAGGAUGAUCGGUAUGUUCUUAUGAUUAAAGCUAGUUUCUUAAGACAUUCAUAAUACUCAGUUUAUUACAGUAGUGUAGCUGUGCUUAUUCAGCUAUAAAUUCUCUCAAUCGACAAUUACUAGGCUAAUAGACUACAAUGAAAAUAGGAAAAGUAGUAGUCCAUUGAUGAACUACCUAGCUCUCAUAGUUUAGAUUUUAGAAUCUAAUAACUAAUCUAUGAAAUCCUUAGUUUACAACACGACAAUCUUUCCUAAUUUCUUGACCUCCAUUGAGACUGCUCAUUUUGAUCAUAGAGUUUACGAAAGCUUUCUCGAAACUCUGUUUCGAACUGGCAAACUUGUAUACCAAACCUUUGGUUUUCGGAUUCGUGAGCAGGGCUUGGUCAGAAGAAAACAGGGUUUUGCCUUGAAGGAUCAACUUGAAGUAGGUGUUAUCGAAAGCUGUUGAAGAAGGAUCCAUUGUUGCUCCGGCAUUCUUUGCCUUGUUCUUGAUCGGACAAACGUUCCUUAAGCUUGCUGCAAAUGAAGGAUGCAUUGUUGGGUCUAUGUCGUGCGUUGCGUUGAAGUUGCGGAUUCUAUUCUGGAAGGAUGAGCAGUGGGAAAAUCCGAUAGUGUGGCCUCCUGCAACAGCAUCGUGUGUAAGUAACAAGGUAAUCCCUGUUUGCUUUAGUUAAAUAAUGUUGAAUUAAAACAUAUAAAGUUUAUCAUUUCGGUUAACCUGAAAGAGCUACAAGGUCAUCCAUGGAUAGGCCUCUUUGAGAGAAGCUUUGUUGCAGUUGAGAUAUGUUGAAAGUCGGAGCCGGCAAUUGUAUAGUUUCGCUAGCCUUUGAUGUUCUACCGUCUUUUCUUCCCUUAGGCACUUCCCAUGUAGGACCUCCUGACUAUCAUGAAUUUGAUCAAAUAGACACCAUUAGAUCAAUCAUUAUGCAUACAUAUAUUCAAUGCACAUACAGAAUCCACACUAAAGAAAGUUGUAGUCUUACGAGCACGACAGCAUCCCUUGCGGCAAAAGCCAAAAUAUCAGCACACGAGACUACACCCGGACACGCUGCUUCGACUUCUUUCUUUGCAUUUUCUAUAACAUAAAAUCCAUGCAAAGAAAGAUUUGCAGGCCCAUCUUUUUCAGCUUUAUUGUUUCCCUUUGAGUACAACAGCACAGAAGCAUCACAACCCUGAAAAGAAAAAGCCCAAAUCAAUAUCUAAACCCAACUUGAAUCCGACAUCCCUAAAAUCCACACCAAAUUACCCUUAUAAAACAAUCAUGAAAAUGCAUUCGAAGAAGGGCUGCAGGGACCGUCUUAUCCUUCAUGGUGGCACGCUCGACAGCUUUUGCAACUAUCGACUCAACAUCAGGACAGGUUUUCUCAUAAUGAUUCAAGCUAAGAGCAAUGGCUGGUGAAGUCGACGCAGACACAAGCAAAACUAAGGUGGUGGAGAUGACCCUGGAGCUCCAGCAUUACUGCUGUUUCUGGCCGUUGCUUCCGGUUUAACGGCAGUUGCCGGAGGGACCGCCGAUGGUGGUAUCACCGGUAAAGUGUUUGAAGACUCGAUAUUGUAACCUGUGGAAAUUGGAUUGUUAAAAAGAUUUACGAGAUGAACUAGUGGACGAGAUUGAAGAGAAGUUGCUUACAAUCGGAUGCUUUCCAGCCAAGUACCAUCUUUUCUCGAUCGAAUACUAUACGAUAACCGGUCAUGAAGUUUUCUGGAUCGGAUUUAAUAAAAAAAAUAUAAGGAUCUUUACAAACAUCGGAUCGAUUAUCGGUUCAGUGUUUGUAAAUUGGAUCCAGAGAGACUUACGUCCGAUGAUAUUCACACUGUCGCUUUUCACGACUGCCAAGCAAUAUAUAGCUCCACCCUGCAUGGGGAGCACUGCUAUUGGAUCAUUAACCAAAAGCUGAUCUCCGCCUUUCAUUGUCAGAUUCACUACGGGGUACUUCAAGCUCGUUUGAUUGGCGCUGUAAGGUAAAAGAACUCAGUGCUUGAGGCCACUGGGCGAGAAACGAUAAAUAUACGUCUUUUCGAUGGUCCGAAAGGCGAAAUGAAUAGAUUACCUUAGGUCAUAACAAUAUUCAAAGGGAAGGUCAUCGGUAGACUUCGAUGUAUGCCGCUUGUCUAAGGCCAAAUUGUUGAACUGCCAAACAAAAUAACUAUAAAUACGCGUAUGGGAGAAAAUGGAAACCGAGAGGGGGGGCGGGGGGAACAUGAAAUUUGUGACUUAAACUACUUACAGUCUCGGAAAUAAGCGUAUAAGCCGGGUCAUUCAAAUAUGUAAACGAGGUACCAGAGUCGAAAACGGCAUCGAACUCGAGAUCGCCGGUCUUUCCUCCCACGCUUAUUUGAGUGAUACUAAUAUUGUAAGUAGGGCUGAAAAUGAAUAUCGGGAAGGAUCAGUAACACUCGACAAAAUAGGAGCAUUCGCAUAUCGAACAAAUUUGGUAUUAUAGUCAAUACCGUGAUUGCCUGGGAUUAAUCGGUGUUUCUCCUUGGUCUGAGCUGCCCUUAUCACCGAAAGUUAUUCUUCCGAUCCCAUCCGAUCGAAAACACAUAGAGAACGAAUUCGAUGUAACAUUUUCUUUUGCUAAUAUGCUGGGAACUGAUAUAUUGUCCAUACCAAGCCCGAAAAGACCAUUAGGAGCUGCACCGUUUAAGAACGAUCCAGUCUGAAUCUUCCCGCAACUGCAAUUGAGUAACGCACACGAGUUAAUCAUUGCCGAACGUAAUCGCUGACCAAUGCUAUUUUCGACAACAGCAAGGUGAGAUUUCAGGACAAAAGAAGUAAAAGAUACAAACCCGAAAGUAAUCUUGGCUUCGACGGGUUUGUUUGUUUUAUCAUCGUCCGUAGUCAAGCGCAAGACAUCUUCCACCAAAACCCCGAUCGACGAGGUGCCAUUGGAUAGAUAGAUAACUUGAUAAGGACAAGUAUUUGUAGGUGAAGAGCAUUUUCUAUGUUGUUCGCACUUGUCACUGCUACAAGGAACCUUUGAGCUUGUAGAUGAUGUAUUAGGGCUGUAGAUGUUAAAUUCUAUUGUCUGAAACGCAAAUUUUACAGCAAAUAGAAUUUUGUCAAAAGAUUGAAAUUAAAAAUGAAAUCCUCUUCUUUUAAAUUAUU